GGUAGCCUGCCCCUGUGUGUGUGUGUGUGUGUGUGUGUGUGUGUGUGUGUACACGUACGUGCACGUGCAUGCAUGCCCCCACUCCCAGACACAG
This 94-nucleotide microRNA precursor is filed under the name Mustela putorius furo (domestic ferret). RNAcentral's name for it is "miRNA (ENSMPUG00000022514.1)". The record is from RNAcentral. Lineage: Eukaryota; Metazoa; Chordata; Mammalia; Carnivora; Mustelidae.